This 69-nucleotide transfer RNA is filed under the name Linepithema humile (Argentine ant). RNAcentral describes it as "tRNA-Cys". The record is from RNAcentral. Lineage: Eukaryota; Metazoa; Arthropoda; Insecta; Hymenoptera; Formicidae.
AUAUUUUAAUUUUUUUUAAAAAAAUUUCUUUAAAUUUGCAAUUUAAUAUUUUAUAAACUAUAAAAUAAA